RNAcentral lists this transfer RNA (73 nucleotides) under Negombata magnifica. Its description in RNAcentral is "transfer RNA-Leu (UAG)". It matches the Rfam family "tRNA". From Rfam's summary of the family: Transfer RNA (tRNA) molecules are approximately 80 nucleotides in length. Their secondary structure includes four short double-helical elements and three loops (D, anti-codon, and T loops). The record is from RNAcentral. Lineage: Eukaryota; Metazoa; Porifera; Demospongiae; Poecilosclerida; Latrunculiidae.
AGGGAUAUGGUGAAAAGGUAAACACAUGUGAUUUAGGUUCAUUUUUUUGUAGGUUCGACUCCUAUUAUCCUUA